This 447-nucleotide ribosomal RNA is filed under the name uncultured bacterium. Its description in RNAcentral is "bacterial SSU rRNA". It matches the Rfam family "Bacterial small subunit ribosomal RNA", at positions 330 to 794 of the family's 1533-position model. The record is from RNAcentral.
GCCAGACUCCUACGGGAGGCAGCAGUGGGGGAUAUUGCACAAUGGGGGGAACCCUGAUGCAGCGACGCCGCGUGGGUGAAGAAGCGCCUCGGCGCGUAAAGCCCUGUCAGCAGGGAAGAAAAUGACGGUACCUGAAGAAGAAGCCCCGGCUAACUACGUGCCAGCAGCCGCGGUAAUACGUAGGGGGCAAGCGUUAUCCGGAUUCACUGGGUGUAAAGGGAGCGUAGACGGCCAUGCAAGCCUGGAGUGAAAGCCCGGGGCCCAACCCCGGGACUGCUCUGGGAACUGUGCGGCUGGAGUGCGGGAGGGGCAGGCGGAAUUCCUGGUGUAGCGGUGAAAUGCGUAGAUAUCAGGAGGAACACCGGCGGCGAAGGCGGCCUGCUGGACCGCGACUGACGUUGAGGCUCGAAAGCGUGGGGAGCAAACAGGAUUAGAUACCCCCGUACC